AUUGAACGCUGGCGGAAUGCUUUACACAUGCAAGUCGAACGGCAGCACGGACUUCGGUCUGGUGGCGAGUGGCGAACGGGUGAGUAAUGUAUCGGAACGUGCCCAGUCGUGGGGGAUAACGUAGUGAAAAUUACGCUAAUACCGCAUACGAUCUAUGGAUGAAAGCGGGGGAUCGCAAGACCUCGCGCGAUUGGAGCGGCCGAUAUCAGAUUAGGUAGUUGGUGGGGUAAAGGCCCACCAAGCCAACGAUCUGUAGCUGGUCUGAGAGGACGACCAGCCACACUGGAAAUGAGACACGGUCCAGACUCCUACGGGAGGCAGCAGUGGGGAAUUUUGGACAAUGGGAAAAAGCCUGAUCCAGCCAUUCCGCGUGCAGGAUGAAGGCCCUCGGGUUGUAAACUGCUUUUGUACAGAACGAAAAGGUUUCUACUAAUACUAGGAGCUCAUGACGGUACUGUAAGAAUAAGCACCGGCUAACUACGUGCCAGCCGCCGCCGCGG
RNAcentral lists this ribosomal RNA (500 nucleotides) under uncultured bacterium. Its description in RNAcentral is "partial 16S ribosomal RNA". It matches the Rfam family "Bacterial small subunit ribosomal RNA", at positions 30 to 523 of the family's 1533-position model. The record is from RNAcentral.